RNAcentral lists this unclassified non-coding RNA (395 nucleotides) under Hevea brasiliensis (rubber tree). Lineage: Eukaryota; Viridiplantae; Streptophyta; Magnoliopsida; Malpighiales; Euphorbiaceae. The record is from RNAcentral.
CAAUCGCGCCGGCGGCGCGCAGCCGCGCCACGGUGUUGGCGUCCUGCGUGGGCCUAUACGAGAACGCCGGGCAGGCGGCAGUGGUCGGAAGGCCUGCGACGUCGAUGUUGUCCUUCACUGCAACGGGCACCCCGUAGAGCGGCAGCGAGGUGUCGCCCUUCGCCGCGAGCGCUUCGGCUUCGGCAAUCGCCUCGGCCUCGAUGCGCAGGCUGAUGAAGAUCGCGGGAUCGCCAUAGUCGCGGAUGCGCUGAAAGCUGCGUGCAACAGUCUUGGCAGGUGAAGUUAUCCCUGCGCGAUGCGCGGCGACGAUUUCGGCAACAGUCUCGGUCACAAAUCGCUUCCUGUCGUUUUGGUUGGAGAUUCCGCCGGCUCGGCCGCGAGCAAAUUUUUGAUUG